UUUUUUUUUCUCGCAGGGGCACUGUUAUCUAGAUUCUGAAGCUGUUUCAACGCUUUUCAGGUGCUUCGUGCAUUAAAGACUCGACAAGUAACAUAUGCAGUAUUGACACACUUGAGUGAGUAUAUUCAAGACCUCGGGAAGACUGGGUUGCUCGAGGAAAAAGAAAUAGUCCAUCUCGAUGAUGCUUUGCAGGUAGUUUGGAAUAUAUGAUUUCAUUUCUUGUGGUGAAGUGAAAAUGACUUAUCUCUCUGGUUUCAGUUAAAUCGCAACACACUAACUCUGAUAAGUUUAUUCAUUUGGCAGACAGACUUGAAGAAGCUUCAGAGGAAUCCACCGCUGGUGAAAAUGCCAAGAGUUCGUGAACUUCUAAACACUCAUCCUUUAGUCGGUGCACUGUCUGCUGAUGUUCGUGAUCCAUUGUUAAGUAAUACAAAGGAAACAAUAAAAGUUCAUGGAACAAUUCUAUACAGAGAAGGCUCAAGGCGGACUGGUAUAUGGCUUGUUUCGACUGGAAUAGUAAAGGUAUGUUUCUGCCUCGAGACUACUUCAUUACAUUUUGGUCGAAAUAUAUACUUUCCUACUCUAGCUGUUUCAAUAAUGAAGAUACCCCUUGCUAUUUUUUCCUGGCAGUGGACAAGUCGGAGACUAUGCACCAGGCAUUCGUUGGAUCCAAUUUUGUCACAUGGAAGCACUUUGGGUCUAUAUGAGGCAUUAACUGGAAAGCCUUAUAUUUGUGACAUUAUUACAGAAUCGGUGGUGCAUUGUUUCUUCAUUGAAGCUGAAAAAAUAGAGCAAUUGCGCCAGUCUGAUCCUUCUAUUGAGGAUUUUAUGUGGCAGGUAUGCUCUAAUAAUACUGCUAACCCAUGUGCUCAUUUACAUUUUUGACUCUUAGACAUUUCCUGCAACGCAUAAUCCUUUUCUGCUCUGUUGUUUCCUUGAUUCUGUGAGUGGGAGUGAAGCCCAUUUCCUUUUUAUGUGGUUCUCAAUAGGGUUAAAAUUCCUGCUGGUUACUGAUUGAUAGUCCUGUAAGCCUGUAAUGGGAGGGUGGGUGGGUGGCAGCGUCUGUUCUAACAAGUUUUGCUUAGAGUUGCUUCUAAUUUCGACACUAACAUCAAGUAUGAAGUUUGUCCUAAACCAAGGGUUACCAAGAGAUAAUUGUCAAAAAAAGGGUUACCAAGAGAUUGUCCGCAUGCAGUAACUAUGCAGCAAUGAGGUGUAGAUGAGCAUAGUCUAAACCAACACCUCCAUCGAGGGAUUCGCAUCAUCAUUGUUAGAUUCGAACAAUGAGGUCAAGUCCUAGAUUUUCGCCUGGGCAGCAUAUCAGCGCCCCAUCGAGGGACUGUCGACUGAGCCCUCAACGCCGCCAUCACUGGAUCCAGUCAAAGACUGGACAACCACGUCGUGUUUUCAUCUGCAACCACCCCAGCUGAUUAUUGCCACCACCAGUCCUCAAAUCUGCUUCAUCUUUGUAUCAAACUAUCAAUACCCGUGCACAUUAAUGAAUUGUAACACUCAAAGCAGCCCAAGCGUGUAUGAACUUACAACAAUUGUUGCAACUUGCCUGGACAUUUACUUCUCUUCACCUUAUCGAAACUUUGCUUGGGCACGUCGCGUUGCAUAAUUUAUUACUCCCUCCGAUCCAAAAUACGUGUCUUAGUUUUAAUUCAAAAUUGAACUAAAACCACGACACUUAUUUUGGAUCGGAGGGAGUACGCAUUAAGUAUUAUUACUGACGUUGAACUUCCAUUUAGGUCUGGUGUAAUAAUGCUACAUUUUUUCACAUAAUUUGUAUCUGGUAGACCUUAAUCAUUCAUACACCGAAAUUACAGGAAAGUGCUCUAGUCAUUGCAAGGAUUUUGCUCCCUCAGAUAUUUGAGAAAAUGGCAAUGCGUGAGAUGAGGGUUCUCAUUUCAGAAAGGUCUAGUAUGAAUGUCUACAUUAAGGGGGAAGCCAUUGAGCUUGGGCAUAAUAACGUAGGCAUCUUAUUGGAAGGAUUUCUGAAGACAGAGAACCGAACUUUGAUCACAGCUCCAGCUGUGCUGCUGCCGUCAAACACUGAUUUGAACUUAUUUGGCCUGCAGUCUUCAGGUUCUCUAUAUUUUCAUCAAUCGAGCAGUGGCUGUUUUUUAAAGCAAAAACAGUGAUUUUAUUUUGUUCUAAAAGUAAUUGAACGCUGAAGUGCUCUCUUGUUUACAGCCAUGAAUCAGAUAGACUACUGCUAUACUGCUCCCAGUUAUCAGGUGGAGGCUAGAGCAAGGGCCAUCAUAUUUGAAAUAGGUAGCCUAGAUAUAGAAGCCGAUCUGCAAAGAAGUGCAUCAUUGCUGUCUUCAACCCUCGGACCAUCACGAACACAGAGCAAAGAGCAUGUCGGUUUGCUCAGGUGGCCGGAGAGUUUCCGGAGAUCCAGCGGGCCUGGGAAUGCAAGCCUAGCUGAAAUCAGAAGUCAGCCUGGUAACUUCUCUGCUAGAGCCUUGCAAGUCAGCAUGUAUGGCAGCAUGGUACGUAUGAUCCUUUUCAUCUAUUUUGUCGAUCUCAUAGCUAUGACUUUUGAUCAGCUCAACUAAAAAAUGGAUCAACAACUCAUUCACAGACGGAUGGCAUGCACCGUGCUCGGCGGCAACCGAGGCUUGCUCAUGUGGAAGGAAACCAGAAGCACAGCGUGUCGUAUCCAAAGGUGCCUUCAAGGGCAGCCGACACGCGGCCUCUGUUGUCGGUGAGGUCGGAGGGCUCCAAUGCGAUGAAGAGAAAAUCUGCUCCUGCCCCAGCUAUAGCUCCUGCACUCGCUCCCUUUCCGCCGCCCCUAGCAGAAGGCCGGCAACGCAGGGCGGUAGGAGAAGAUGACGACUCGAGCGAUGAGUCCGUGGGGGAAGAAGUCAUCGUCAGAGUGGACUCUCCCAGCAUGCUCUCGUUCAAUCCACCCUCCGGCCCACCGCGAGGCAGCUGACAGUUGCAGUAUGUACCGAUAUUCUCUUCUUGUUGUAUACUGAAUUUUGUGACCAAUGGUAUCAUGGUGUAUGUAUAUCAGUAUAUGUGUAAAAUGCACGAUAUGUUGUACUGUAUAAUAAAUGGCAGAAAAAGGUUGUGGCGACUUCAAGCUGCAAUGUGGAAGCCUGGGAUAGCCUUGUUGAUAACCCUACUUGCCUUUUUCUAAAUGUGCUGUGGCCCAACAUUUGUGGUCUAUGAGUAUGAAACUACUCAGGUCAUGAAUAUCUUCUGUUCUGCUGUCUUAUGGAGCUUAUGGUGGACUUUUCGUAACAAACUCUGUUUUCAGGGAAGACGAUAAACUCUGUUUUCAGAAGGACGCUGGAGCAAUGCAAAGGAGGUUGUUGUCACACCCUGAUUUUCAUGCCACAACACUUAAGCUAAUACAUCUUGAUAAAGUGUGGUUUGACAAAAACUUUUGCAUUAUUUGGCUUUUAUUUGGAGUUGGUUUUCUCUUUGUGUUUUCAAGUGCUCUUUAAAGUCAACACAACUCCACCUUCUAUACUUCAUCUCCUUGCCCCAAACUUCUGCCCAAUGAUCAUGCCAUGUGUAUAGAGAAAUAUAGUAAUUUCUUACAAAAAUAAUUUGGCCAAAAAGUAUUUUCAAAAAUUAGUUUUCCAAAAACCCCUGAAUUAAGAUUUGUACUGCAAGUACUUAAUUAAGGGCAGUAAAAAUCCUUCCAAAAAUAUGUUUGACUCCUAUUAGAUAUAGGAUACCCAGAAACCACAAAAAUAUAAUUUUAAAAGUUAUUUUACUAUUUUAUUUAAAAGCCUUUUCUUAAGGCCAGAAAUGGUCUUUAAUAGGGAAAAAUUAUUUUUUUGUUUCAAAAAUAUUUAACAAAAAUCAGGGAAACUCAAUGGACAUAUAUUGUCCAUAUAUAAGAGUUUCAACACAUGGUCAUGUUCAAAAUAUUGGUCAAAUCCCUCAAAAACCAUUUCUGCCCAUUUCAAGGAUUUGAAAUAUUUCUACAGGAAAUAUUCCCCAACAAUUCCAAGAAAAUUCUAGCAUGUCACAUAUGACAUGUUUGAUGAUCUUGCCAAGUAUCAUGUCAUGGAGAAAAGUAUAACCCCAUGAAAUCUCCCCAAAACCAUUUCUGUCCAUUUUGAAGUUUGAGCAACUUUACACUGACAAACAUGUCCAAAUGCUCUCAAACUUGGUGCACAUGCUCAAAUGGUGUAAUAAUGCAUCUAGACCAAAUGGCACAAGUUGGAGAGAAUGUUAUCUUGAUCAAAGUACCCCAAAACCCUCUCUGACCAGAAUCAAAUUUGAACAACUCUACAUUUCCAAGUGUGUCCUUUUGAUCUGAAUUUUUGUGGACAUGUUCAAAUCCUCAAAUGAUAACACUACACCAAGUGGUGCAUCAAGGAGAAUAGAUUUGCAUGACUAAAUCUUGGUAAAGCCAUUUCUACUCAUUUCUAGGGUUUACCAAAGUUACAUUGGCUACUUUGCCCAAAUGAGCUCAAACUUGGUGGAACAUCCUACUUCUAUGUGCCAUUCCAUCCUGUUAAUUCUCAUGGCAAGUGGAAUUAAUUUUCUUGCCCAAACCAACAACAAACACCUUUUGCCAUUUUCCCAAAAUCAUCAUUUUGACAUCUUCCAACUAAUCUCCUUGAGCUCAACUUUUUACCACAUCUCCUCCUAGUCUUCUCCUAUCUCCAGUAACUCUUCCCUAGCCUCAGCUCAAUUAUUCUGGGGGUGAAACCCAUCUCUUUCUCUCUCUGUUUACCCAUGGCAACUCCUCCUCUCUCUCUCAUUUCUAUAUGCAGCCCCCCACCUAGCUCCUGACCACUCUAGAGCAUCCAAGGAAGCUCCAGGACACAAGUGGACAUGCCCCUGACCUUUUAAAAUGGCCAUGCCGGCCAUAUGCAUGCUCUGGAGCACGCUACAGUGCGCCCUUGCACUGUAGCUGCCCUCUGCCCGAUGCCUCCGACCACCUCGGCCCUCCCCCGCACGCCCGCCGACGCGUCUCGACGUCCGCAGCACGCUACACCCCUGUCCCCCUCAUCCUUCUCCCUCCUCCUGCCCCUGCUCGCACGCGCGCCGGCCGCCCGAGUACACCAGUGAGCAAGCUCACACGCGCGGUGCCCCUGCCCCCCUGCUCUCUCUCUUCUCUCCCCUAGCUCUGGAUCGAAUCCAGGAACGCCCCACACACCGCGACGAGCUCCUGUGACCCGUGGUGACGGCAACGAGCUCGCCGGCGCACGAGUCCUCGAUGGACCGUCGCCCGCCUAUUUAAAGGCCUCCCCGAGCCCUCCUCUCCUCACCACUCGCCCUCUCUCCCUCCCAGAGACCCACGGGACGAAGCCAAACCUCUCCCCGAGCCCUCCAUCCACCUCCAAGACCGGAGCCGAGCCGCCGGCCUCCACCUAAAUUCGGCCGAGCCCGAGCUCUUCUCCCUCUUCUCUCUCCACCAGCAGGCUCCCCUGAGCAAGGCGGAGCUCCCACGCUCUUUCCCUCGUCCGAGGACGCACCGUAGCGCCGUGCCCAAUCUCGCCCGACGCCACCAUCCGCCGGCAUCCAAGCCACCGUCGCCUCGACCAUCCCCGGUAGCCGUGGCAUACACGAAUGGAUGCGGCGCUCGACGCUGAGCUCACCCAUAGCCAGAGCGUCGCCAGAGGUGCUCCGUAGCGCCGGCAGUCGCCGUCGGGGCUCUCUGCUCCCUCGACCAGGCAAGCGCGCGGGAGGAAGAGGAAGACGAAGGCCCUGCAGGCGGGCCCCGCUCGUCAGUGGCCCAGCCACCGGGCCACGCUGGCAAGUGGAGGCGGGUUCGCCCCCUCUCGCGUCCCCGCGGUGAAGGCGCACUUCGCGUGGGCGCCUUCGACGUCGCCUCGGUCACCCCGUGCGGCCAUUCGGCUGGGCCGGCCCACGGCCUAUCUGCCGCCCCGUGUGCAGGAUAAGGUUAAAACCUUAUUUCCUUUUUCUUUUUCCAGUCAGCUUCAAAAAUCCAUAAACAAUUCAAAUUAACUCCAAAUUGGAUGAUUCAAAUUUCUAGUAGUUCCGAAAAUCAUGCCCUAUCACAUGGUGCCUUUUGCACAUUUUUCUAGCACAUUUCCCUUCACACAUAUUAAAUAAAUCCUAUUUUCUUAUUUCUGUGCUGAACUUUAGAAAAUCACAGAGAGCCCAUUUUUGAUCCAAAUUCCAUGAUUCAAAAUCCUAGAUGUCUAUAAGUUCAAAACUUAGUUUUUAAACAUUUUUACUAAUACUUUCUGUAUCACCUCAAAUAAUGGUCUAUUUCUUCAUAUUUGUCAACUUUGCAAAUUCAUAGGAAAAUCAUUUCAACUCCAAAUCCAGUGAAACCAAUUCCUAGAUGCUUCUAAAAUCAUCCUUUGUUAAAUGGAUGUCUUUGCUCAUUUUUCAAAAAUAUAUUUCUGUACACUUCUUGCAAAUCCAUAAACCCCUUGAUUCCAUCAUAUCCAAAUGUUUAGAAAUAUCCACUGACCCAAUUCCAAUGGAACCACUCUGGUUAAUUUUCGUAUAACUAGAGAUGUCCUAGAAAAGUCAAAUCAAUAUUUUUAGAGCACUUUCAUUUCCUGCCUUGUUGUGUUGCUUAUUAUGGUUGCUUUCGACGAUAGUUGACGAAGUAGACGAAAUGCUUGGAGUUGGACCAAAAGAUAUUUGAAGAUCUCAAGACUCUGAUGAACCAGGCAAGCAGCCCUUUGACCAUGUCUAUGAAACCCUUUUUAUGCAUGUCAUAUAGCACUUUUAUUGCUUGCAUCGAAGUCAUGAUAAAACGGUGGCCACUUGAGGUGGUGCCUCCGUUGCUUUCCUCAUUAACACUUGCAUGAUGCAUGACCCUACCUUUCUAUGAGGGUUAUGCCGUUGGAAGUAGAUAGGAUGCUAAAGUAGUUGCUACGCAAAGUGGAUCAGGAUUAUGCAUGGAAAGAAACAAGUGUGGUUUGACAUACUUGCGAACAACCCUAGUGGGUGCCACUAAUGCCCCUGGGAGAUGAUGAUGAACUAGGUCACUACUUGGUGGAGAAGUAGUGUACCGAGGCUCGAUAAAAGUGUUGUUUACAGAGAUGGAUUAGAUUUAAGAUUUGUCGACUGUCCCAACCUUACAUGCGCAACCACUCUACCCUUGUAUGGGAAAGGACAUUAUUGAUUACCUAGGCCGAUACUAGCUUGGAGCCCGCAUUACUAGUGACGGGAGAGUUGUUGGUGCGCUCUCUCGGGACGGGGUCGUGCCAGGUAGGGCGGCCAUGACUAUUUUCACAGGGCACCGGAUACACCGUUGUGUCCCCUCUCGGAUGUUACGAUCUCGAGUAAGUCUCGUAUGAUGUACAUCGUGAGGAUACGGAACAACGAGUGGACUCCUUGUUAGUGUCGUCUAGGGAAAGAUAAUGAUCGGGUGCUUACCCCGGGUACUUGAGGUAUCGCGGGUCGUGGAUGACACGGAAGUUCCCCAGAUCUUGUGGGUAAAGUGUGCAACCUCUGCAGAGUGUAAAACUAUUCAAAUAGCCGUGUCCACGGUCAAGGACAGUUGGGUGGUGCUGCUUAAACUACAUCCACGUGUUUACAAACCAGUGUGUGUGUUGGAUAAGUGGGAAGAACUACUUGGGUCAAGUCAAGGACUUGACAUGAUUGAGUUGGGUUGGUGCCCACUCUAUUUAUGUUGAUAUCUGUAACCUGUCCUCAUGGUUACUUGAAUUCUCCUGAUGCAUGUCUUACACGUUGUUGAACAUGUCAUUGCACUCAAAACUAGCUUUCCGCAAAAAUUUACCUAUAUCAUGCAUUGUUGUAUCUUGAACCAAAACAUGGGUUGCUUGCGAGUACAUUCAAAGUACUCAUUGUCUUGCCAUUGGUUAUUUAAUUGGCCAGGCAUCAAAGAACAGGAGUUCAAAGAAGAGUCCUUUGGAGACGAACAUGCGAACUAGGACGUUUCUCAGUCAGAAUGCCUGUAGGGUUAAGGCAGAUGGCAUGGGUUCUACUUAUCAACAAAGAUUUCCGCUGCUUGUGUUUCAUUCGAUGUUCAGCCCUUAAGGCUUUAUAAAUGUAAGACUUGACCAUAAUGGUCAUAAAUUGUGUAAGACGAUAUGUAUGGAUGUAAGACUCUUGUUAUUCAGCUUCUGUGUGUUCAGUGAGCAUUGAUCUCUGGGAUCACUAUACACGUGCAUUCGGUGAUCUCGACUUAUGAGUCGGGGUCCCCACAGAGCUGGUAUCAGAGCCAUCCUGACUGUAGGAAGCCUUAGUUAGCAUGGACGUUAGUUAGCUUGAGACCUUCUAAACUUCUCUUCUUUUCUAAGCUUACCAAGCCCGAGGGAUAUUUUUCCAUAUUGACCUCCCCUAUUCAACUUUUGUAGAUGGCUGUCGCCCCCUUGAGACUCCUUAUGACAGGAUUUCCAUCACUCCUAAAAGACUGCCUCCAACAAUGCCACUAUCCCUUGUUGCCCAUAUACACCCUGCAUGAACUGGAAAAUGAUGUGCUCGAGAAGGAGUUCUAUGCCAAGGUUUUUGUGCCUGCCAAGACCUCACCCCAGGGGUGGUUCUUCAUUGGACCACCCAUGCCAACACAAGACCUGGCCAUUCAGCAAGUGGCAUAUGAAGCGCUUCUCCGUCUUCGAGGCCUCCUUCCAGAAAUGAAAGAAGAACACGCCACCCGCUACCUACCUGGAAAGAACGGAUUUGGAGCCCCAGCUCAAGUGAUGAUUUCCCCAGAAGAUGAGGAUCCAACCCUCAAGUACCAGAUCCGCUUCAUCAACGCCGGAGACUACCUUCUACGUCACCUUACCGAAGCAUUCCUUAAGGCUCGCCAAGACCUCCCCUCACUUCUGCACCUCCACUGCCUCGAGAAGAAGAAGGUGGUCGAGCAAGAACAGCAAAUCACUGCCUUAGAAGCCCACAUUUUUAAUCAAGAGCAGCAAAUCAAGGGACUUCGGAAAGCUCGCAACCCAACCCCACGCAAAAGGCAUAGGAAUGGAUUUCCGUAUCCACCUCAUAGAGGAUCAUCGUCAGGCCCCCGACGACAAUACCCAAGACUGAAUAGAAACCCUUGUGCUUCCGUCACAUGUCGCGGGUGUGGUGAACUUGGGCACAUUAAAAGGAUGUGUCCCAACAAGCAGCCGACUGUCGCAUACCCUUUGGCACCACAAGGGGAACCCAGAAACUAAAGACUGAGCACCCUUCUCUCCGAGCAAGCACGACUACCGAGUCCGAGGACCCCUAGGGUAGGAUGAGUCGUGUACCCCCCUAAGGACUGGACGUGGAGUUUGGGUCUCCCUACCAAUGGUUAGGGUUUAGUCUCGGUCUCUGAGCUAACGGUGGCGGGAACCAUAAUCUGAGGAUUGGCUGUGGAUUUUGGGUCUCCCUAGCCCCGGCUAGGGUUUAGUUUCAUUUUAUGGCCGCCAGUGGUGAGGUGACGGCGUCGUUGAUGGUGAGGAAUAAGGUUACCUUGUCUUGUCCUUGUUCGGGCGAUGGUGAUCAGCAUGGGCGAAGGGCAACAGACCCAAGGCCCCUCUUUUGUCUAAGUUUCAUGUAGGUGGUUCUCGAUAGUGGAGUGGAUGGUGACAGUAUGUGUAUUGGUCUUCUGACUUUUUUUUCGAUCGGUAAAGCGCACAACCAACUUCAGCUUUGUCGAGAAGCUAGUGAGGUAAGGCCUCCUGGUUCUAUCUGGCUGGACCUAGGAUGAUUGCUUUGUCAUCCUCGUCACCUUCUUCUCCAGGAUAAAAAUCUUUUACUUUGUCGCCGACUUCUUCUAGCUCCGAGCAACAACUUUCUGACCGUUGCGUCAACACCAUUACUCUUAUGCUAGGCUCCGAGUGACCGGGUGUGUUAUGAAGAUCUAGAGGCGGCAUUGAGCUUUUUGGUCACAACACACCCACAACGAGUGAAUGGCAUGAAGAUGGGUUUGAUGUAACCAAGGACCCGUGUCUUCCUCCGUCCUUGAAAGAGUGUACUUCUUACUUUGUUGGAAAGUCAAACUUUUUUGUUUGACCGUAUUUAACAUUUAUGCUAUCAAAUUAAUAGCAUUAGAUUCAUGAUAAGAUAUAUUUUCAUCAUAUAUCUAUUUAGUUUCACAAGCAUUGACAUAUUUUUGCACAAACUCGGUCAAACUUUAAGAUAGUUUGAUCUUCCAACAAAAUUGAAAGUACGCUCUUUCAGAGUAUUUGUGUUUUGUACGGAUUGUCAAUUGUCAUCCAAAGGUUGGAAAAUUUUAAUUUUUUUUCUCGAACCAAGGAAAAAAAAACAUACAUACAGUCACACGACCGCGUGCCGUACGACCCCCUCCGUUCUGUCACGCGCGUCGCCGUUCCCGGCCGCUCUUGCUCGUCGAUCGCCGGACGGAAUCGCGUCCCCACCGUCCCCACCCGGCCCCCCACGAUCUCCGGCCAUUGGGGUUUCAGGUAUUCACCCCAGCGAUUCUCUUCAAUAUCCCAACCCAAAUCCAUCUAGCUAGAUCGAUCCGCCCCUGGGCCGCAGGUCCAGCUGUAUUUUUCCAAACCCUAGAUAGACAUGGAGUGGCUAGGGCCUCAAGACUGGCUUGAUCUAGGGUGACAGCGCCUUCCUUGCUCGUUCUCAACUUCUCAAUCAUGAAUGUCACUCUGAUGAUCUAAUAAGAUUAGCAUGCAUGUAAUCCACGUCUAUAAAGCAGCGUCUCCUCUGCACCAGUGUUGAUGGAUCCAAGCAAGACGGAGAAGAGGAUGACACCGCUGCCAGCACCUCCUUUCCACAAAGAGCGCCCUCUUCCUAGAGCACAACGGUCCCCAGAUCGACGCUACUCGCCUUACCCUCCUCCGUCCAAGGAUGAUUACUCGGGAAAGGUGAGAAAAUCCCCACACACUUUUUAAUGUGAACACCUUAAGUCCUUAAUCCAUGGAUUCAAAUGUUAUUUUUUCCCCUUUGAACUGGCGCUCGGCAAUAUGGAUCUAUCACUUGCACCUGGAUCGGUCUAUUCUGAUAAAACUGGCGCUCGGCAAACCCUAGAUAUUCUUGGCUUUUGAUGCAACAUGUACUCCCUCCGUCCGGAAAAAGUUGUCCACAACUUAGUGUACUGUGAAUUUUGCAAAAACGCCCUCGUAGCUUAAAAUCUAUUACAAACAUGUCGCUGUUUCCUUCCUUCUUCCUCUGUCCGUCGCCCGCGCGCGUCGCCAGGGCAAGUCGCCGUCGGGGACCUACGCCGGCGCCACCCAGGGCUUGCUCCUCCGCCUCCCAGGACCUGCUCCGCCCAAUUGCUUGCUCCGCCGCCGCCCAGGACGUGCUCCUCCGACGCCUAGGUCCUGCGCCGUCCAAUUGCUUGCUCCGCCGCCGCCAAGUACGCGGUCCUCCGCCGCCCAGGACCUGGGCCACCCAAUUGCUUGCUCCGCCGCUGCGCAGGACGUGCUCCUCCGCCACCCAGGACCUGGGCCGCCGCCGCCAGACCUGCGCGGCCGAUAUCCCCUCCCUCCACCAGGAUUUGCGCCGCCGCCGGCCAGGACUUGCGUGCGCCUGGGUGUCGAGCGCCUCGACCGCGAGUUCUGGCCGCGCCUGGACCUCAAGCUCGAGCUCUUUCCCCUGCUCCUCUGCAAGUUGCUACUGGUCCCCUGCUCGUGUUGCCGCCCGGAGGUCACCUGCUCGUGUGCUGUCACCGGAGGUCCCCUGCUCGUGCUGCUGUCGGUGAGAAGAAAGAAGUACAAGGCUCCUUGCUUUUUCAUCUCCAGUGCCGGACCUUGCUUGCUCUGUAAUUUGAAACACAAUUGAUCAUGUCCUCUGAAUAAAUGUUACAAAUAAAGAAGUUCAGUUAACUUUUGCUAUCUGAAUUCUAAUCAGAUCAAAUUGCUGUCAAUUGCUCUGUAAUACUCAACCAGGUUUAUGAAAAUGAAGAUCAACCAGGUUUAUCUUCAGUAAAUAAUGGUAUGCAUUGUUUGAUUAAGCAGUAGCAAUAGCUCAACAAAUUAAACAAAAAGGAAAUUUCAUAUCGGUAUGCAUUGGCAGGGGAAUGCUAGAACACGCAGAUGUAUCAGCUAGAGCACAAUCUGUGUGAAAAUAAAAGCUUCUGAAAUUUGUUACAGAAAUUUCCCUACUAAAAAGAUAACUGAAUUUUGUGUACUGGAAGUUUACAGUGAAGUUUCAGUAACUACAGUAACUGAAUUUACAGUAAGAUUUCUCACUCCAUUACACUGCUAUUAACUGUAUUAUUCUGCUGUUAACAAUCAGAAUUGACACUAUAUUAUUCAAUCAAGUUGAUGUUCAGAACCUGUCAUUUUCUUCCAAAACCUGUCAAUUUCUGUCAGGUUUUGAUCUGUCAAGUUGAUGUCAAACUUGACACAUAAAUAAAAUUUGACAUCAAUGAAAUUUAGACGGUGAAUAUAGUUUGGACAGUACUCCAUUGUCAUAUUUUCAGUGAGUAAAAUUCAGUUUUGACAAAUUGAAGCCUACUCUAUUCUACUCCUAAAUUCUGAGCUUGAGUCAAGCAGGGGAUACUAAAUGGUGGAUGAGGCAACAAAUUACACUUGAGUAAGAAACACUUUGAUCAUCAUAAAUACUCCAAUUAUUGUUAUACAUUUUUAUGCAUAUUACAAGAAGUUUCAUAAAACUUGAUGUUCAGAACCUGUCAACUUGGUGUUCAGAACCUGUCAUUUUCUAUGUGCUUGUGAGGACAAGCUGUGUUGAUCAGUGCUGGGAUGCUAACACCACAAGAAAGCAUGCAUGCCAUGUUCAGGCUUCUUUUUCUUAGUGCAUAUAGAAGUGGCAAUUAAUCACCACAAAAUGGAGUGCAUAGGUUCAGAAUCGAAGCAUGCAUUUUCCAUACAUAAGUUCAGACUUGAAGCACGAAAAUGUACUCCUCUAGGUUAGCAGCAAGAGCUUACAUAUGAUCCAUAUGGCAAGGGUGACUUGACGCCAUUACGAAUACCUCGCCGUACUUCUUCUUCUUAAUUAUUUGAAUUCUUUUUCUUCUUCUUCUUAAUUAUUUGAAAUAAUUUGAAUUAUUCUUAUUCUUAAUUAUUUGAAUUAAUUUGGAUUUAUUUUUAUUAACUAGGAAUUAUUUGAAUUAGCUAGAUUUAUUUGAAUCCAUCUAGUCAUCUUGCCACCAUACAAAAAGACCCAUACUUUCACCACAAAAAGACCCCAAAGUAGACAAUGAUACUGUAGUUAACAUAACUAGGCAUAGCAAGGCAGGGAGCAAUGCUCUUCAACUCACCACACGAACUGAAUUUUACUCAAACUGAAUACUGUACUGAGCACUGAAUGAGCAAUAAAGGCACACAAUUUAGAGAGCAAAAAAUUGAACAUUUCAGGAUAAAAAACUGAAGAUUUCUGAACACUUCUGAAUGAGCAUUUGUUAUGAUAAGAUUUACUAUUUCUCUUUAGCAAAGACUUAAUAUACAAAUUCAGUUUUUAGGAAAGACAAGAUUUACUAUUUCAGUGAACAUUCAAAGUCUGAACAUUUUUAAAUCUAUUGAAGAAUUAAGGAGGAGUACAAAUUAUUCAGGUGUGGUUCUGUUCCUUUUUUCAGUUUCAGCAGAACAUUUAUGUUUCUGUUCCUUUUUUCAGUUUCAGCAGUACAUUGUUUCUGCAAAAUGUUUCAGUAGAGCCUGACUGAAUGAAAGAAGUAGAACAUCUAUCUCAACUAUACAAAAUUUUAGAAGACCAAAAAUCAGUAGAACUUGACUGAAUGAAAAGUUUCUCAUAGCUGCUUUUGCUUGUACAGAGAGAGGGUACUCCGGGAAGAACAUGGGCCGGUCGGGGAUCCCUGUGCGCUACAGCAUCUGCUCGCCCCCAACAUAACAAGACCAGAAUCAACAGAAGCAAACCACGGAGUUGCUGGCCAAAAUAAUUUCAAACAAAAUGAAAGCUGACAAGGGAGGAGAGGACCUGCGUCAUGUUGUUCUGCUUCUUGAUGAGGGAGGUGAGGAGGGGCCUGAAGAGCGGGGACUCGAGGAGCAUACCCAGUACGCCUUGGCGGCGAACGGAAUCCCCUUCCUCCUCCUUUGUGGACUGGCGCACGGCCGAGGCGGCGACCGGCGCGUAGGCCCACGCACACCCGAGGUGGCGCAAGCGCAGCGCGAGACACUGCUGCUUUCCCCGUGCCUCCUCCGGCGUCGGGGGCAACGAGGAGGAGGUGUCGCCGCAGCGCGCAAGCAGGAGACGCAGCGGGAGGAAGAAGAAACAACUUUGGGGGUGAAAGAGGGGAGAUUUGGGAGGCAGGCAAGGGGGCCAGGGGAGCUGCGCGAGGCAGGAGGUCUUUGGUCGGUGCAUACUGUACACGCCCACAGCAGUUUGGACCAAACACCAUCGCUGAGUAUGAAUUUGAUCCCAUGUUCAAGGACGUGGGACUUGACAUGUCCGUUUAUGGCUACCUGCUUCCCUUACUCGGCCAUAAAGUAGCUCCUGCCGCUGAUGCUCCCAACUCAUCCACGCAGGCAAGACUUCUACUCAAACUCCUGACAUUUUUUAUGCCAAGCAUGCUGCUACAAUUAUUGAUUUUUUUAAAAGGUCAACAUUAUAAAAUUAUGAUUUUUUAAAGGUGUGAACACUUCUUGAAACCACAUGAUUCUUUUUAGAAAAAAACAGGUGAACACUUUUAAAUUACACCAACAUCUUUUUUAAAUAGACUAACACUUUUUUAUAAUCACAUGAACUUUUUCGAAGUACACUAGUUUUUAAAUUGCAUAAAUAUGUUUUAAUGGCAUGAUUUUUUAAAAUAUGUGAACAUUUUUUAAAAAUUGCAUGUUUUUUAGAAGAAUGAACACUUUUUAAAAUGUCAUGAUAAUUUAAAACAAGUACAUGAAUAAUUUUCUUUAGUUACCUAAAACAGUUAUUGUUGAUUUGAUUGUAAUUUUUUACAUAACUUUAAAAUUAGAAAAGAGAGAAAAAGUACCUUUGUAAAUGGGAUGCAUUAACAGACGCCCAUUUAAGCAUCACUCGGGCGAUCACGUGCUUCCCGCUUGCUUAGAGCGGUGUAUUGCAGUGCCCUUCCAAAAGUUUGAUUGUGAAGAUAAACGCAAGUAGAAAGGUAUUACUCGAUUUGAAAUUGAAAUUUAAGGUAUUCGAACAGAAUGAUAGGUACAAUUACGGAUUGAAAGGAUGUUCAGAACAAGACAAGUUUAAAUCGAAAUCACUGGUGGCACAUCGUCAUUAGGCAUGCAGCACAAUCGCUAAACUCAAAAUCCAAUUCUGUAGUUUAGCUAGAAGUUCAUGGUUUUCCGGUUUUAACUUCUAUGUGUCCGUGAUGCGAAUAGCAUCAAAUAGAUACUACUGCUUUAAUUUGCUCAUUGGUAGAAUAUUCAGAUCUGCCAAUCGCGGGAAUAGCUCAUUGGUAGAAUAUUCAGAUCUGCCACUCAAAUUUUUCUUUAGAUGAUGGUCUGUGAUGCCCUGAUCUGCUGCUUUAAUUUGCUUGUGUUAAAUGAAUAAGUCACAGCUCAAGAACUUGUGUAAAGAAUAAAGAUAUUGUUGUCUUCUUGGCUACUUCCAUAACCUGUGUAAAUAGAAUAACAGGGUUUUUAUUAUUUUUUCAUGUGAGUGUAACAGUGAGGUGCUUUGUAGUGUAUUGUGUCUGAUUAUGGACAUGACAAGAAGACCAUGAUUUGCUUCUCAGUAACCCACUCAAAUGCAUUGUUCAUUCCAUUUUGAAGACUGUGAUGCUGUCAAUUUCUCUAUGAACUUAAGUGCAGAACUAGUGAUGUUAUACUUGCUGUAGACCUUGAGACUGAAUUUAUACUUAUAUUUAUAUAUUGAACUUCUGCUGACCUCUAUUAUACUUCUUCUAUUUAUCUGGUGAUGUUAUGCUUGCUGCAGCCCUUGAGAUCUUUAUAUUGGAUUCAUGGUUUUUGUUCACACUCUUCAUUUGUUCAUUUUGUAGGUUCACACAAAGAGACGCAGCAGGCUGGUGCAUGACAAGAUGAGUGACCUUGUUUUCAUCAAGUUCAACUCCAAACUGAAGGACAAGAAACUAAACAAACUCAAGGACCCCAUUGAGAAGCAGGUGGUAGAUGUUUUAGAAGAUGAUGAGAAUGAAUGGAUCACUGGUGUGGUGCCUAAUGGUGAUGAAGAACAAGUUGAAGGUGAAGAUCAAGAUCAAGAAAUUCCAUAUGCAAGCUCGCAUGCUGGACCAGGAACUUCUGCUAUUAAUCCCCUUAAAAGGAAGAGGGGUGUCUAUGGUAAGAAGAAGAAGAUGAUGAUCCCUGUUACUCCUCAAGAAGAUCUGCUCUCUGCUUCCUCUGCUUCAGAAAGUGACGACGACGAGGACACCAACAUGAGUUCUGGUUCUGACAUGUGAGCUUGUCGGUUUCUUUAUGAAGUUCGUUUUGGCGCUCAUGAUUCUAUCCUUUCCUGUGUGCUUUUGACAAAUGAAUUCUGAAGACUUUGUGAUGCAUGUAAUGGACUAUGGACAUGCUGCUGUUGUUACUUAACUUCUGCCGAACUGCUGAUGUUAUGCUUGAUGCAGUCUUGAAUUUAUGUUUUUAUUUAUCUGUUGAACUGCUGCAGAUCUCUUCUGUACUUGUUAUGUUCAAAUUUAUAUUGAGAAUCCUCUGUUUUCUACUGAAAAUACCCUGUUUCCUGAGAAAAAUAUGCACAUGUAUUAGUAUAGAUGCAUGAUAUACAUGCAAAAGUACUGUAGCCGCGAAAUGGCUUAGCGGCCGCUAUAGCCGGCGAUAGCGGCUGUAGCGUUGGCACAGAGCCAGCCGCUAAAUGCCUUAGCCCGCGAUCUGAAACUUUGCUAGUACAUCAUUGACAUGUGCUGCAGCAUCUUUGUUUACUGAUAAGUGGGCUUGCCAAUCUCUGUUGCUGCAACCUGCGCUUCGACAAAACAUUGCCAAACCUCCUUUAACCCGGUCCGCUUUCAACCAAUAGUUUUUGUCUGUGCUCUCGGAUACUACAAGCGAUAUGAAGAAGAAGAAGGCGCCGCUGCCAGCACGUCCUUUCUACAAAGAGUACCUUCUUCCUAGAGCAGACCGAUUCCCUUGAUUGGCGUUACUCGCCUUACCCUCCUGUCUCCGGAAAGGUGAGAAAUCCCCACGUGUUUCUUAAAUCUCCACACCUGAGUCCAUGGGUACAAAUGUUACCUUUUCUGUUUGAACCACAUACAUAUAUAUUCUAGUGUUGCUGCAUUGUACCAGCAAACUGAUUGCUAUUGAUGCACGUUUCUUUCUAUGCUACAGAUGGUAGCUCUCACAUCCAUCGUUCCAUGUAAUGACUCAUUUCCAAUUUUCAUCACAUUGUUCCAUUUAAAUAGACUUAUGCUACCAAAUGUUCCGUACAAACUAACUGUUUUGAAGACAAGUUUAUGAACUGCCGUCUUGGAUGUUACUGUAUUGACCAUCUCUUGUUUGUUGUUGGAAACAUUUUCUCUCUUUUACCAUAGCAGGUUGGCACAACUACUGGAUACUGGCAGAGUGAUGGUUGUUCAGAAGUCCCUGUCCGUGAAGGUGUGCACCCAUGUAUCUAUAUUUCGGGACAACUAAGUUCGAAGCAUUUAGUUGUUCAGUAUAUAUACCUAUAAACCCAAUGUCUUUUUGGAGAAGAACCAUAUCGAUUGAUGUAAACACAGUAAAGUAAAACAGAAUCACAGCUUGGAUAGAUUUGUUUACUCGUUGAUUAAUUCAGAUAUCAUGUUUGGUAAUUUAACAUGCCAUGUUGAUUAUGUCUGUUACAUACUUUUUUCUUCUUUUAUUAUUUCUGUUGCUGACACCCAAUGUGUUUUACUUGUGUGACAGUUGCUGCUUUGAAGAUUGCUGAGAACUAGCCAUGUAUGUGCCUAGCCAAGUCGCUCCCAGAAGAUGAAAUCAAGUCAAGAUGUUUAUGGCGGAUCCUGAUUUCCAUAUAUUGAGAUUACGAACCCAUUACUAAUAACUACUUGAUCUAAAACAUCUUAUAUUAGUUUACAGAGGGAGUAUGUAUUAGCUACAACUAUCCUACAUGUGGGCUGCAUCUUCAAUAUCAACGCAUGCAGGAUAUAUUAUUGUUAACUUGUGUCUGCGCUGCGCCACAUAUAUCUAUCCAUCUAUAUAAUGCAAGAUGUUUGUUUGUGUCUGAGAACGAGUGGCAAUCUGUCACCGAUUUCAUAUUGUACAAUGUAUGCAUAAGAACGGGAAAAUUUUAUCUGCAGUGGUGAUUAUUUCAUAAUACUGCUUCGAUCAUUUGCGGAAUUUAUCCCUUUUUUUGGUUUAAGAGCUUGAUUAUUGCCUGUAAGCAGGGAUUAGGGUGUCGUGUGAGGGUCCUUUCAAUUUAUGUUCUGUUCCAUUGAUUGUCUGAUUUUGUACUAGUUGACAAGCUGACAAGUUUGAGGACCAGAACAACGGGGCAUGCACUUUGACCUGUGGGUUUCCUUUUAACUUGCAGGAUGGCACAUAUUUUUCCAUUUAGCACAGCUCGUGAAAGCAAAUUUAUGCUUUCACGAGAAGCAAACACACAUUUCCCCCCUUUUUUUAUUGAGAAGCACAAAUCUUUUUUCUGUGAGAAAAAAUUGCCCAUAAAAAGUUGUUUUUCCUCCAAAACCUAAGGCAAAUCAAGCGAAAUCAAAAAUCCAAAAAAUCAAUGUAAAACCAGAAAACGCGUAGAGAAAAAAAUUCAGAGAAAGCGUCCAACAUGUGACAUGUGGUGGCAGCUGGAUGCACCACUUGGCAUGCUCCCAAGGCGCCAAAAGUGACCCCUGAAGAUCCCCGUAAAGGUAACUUUCGGUUAGUUUGCUCUCGAGAAAAAGAAAGGAAUCUUGGGUACCUACCAGGCCACCACACAAUUAGUGAACGGAGCCGAUAGUAUUCAGGUCAGUGGAGUCCAAGAUGCUGUAACAUCACACUUGAUUAGUUCAUUGACCAAAUGCAAACAUGUUCAGACUGUAUCCACACAACACAGGCAUGAAGCAUGGUAGUACUAUGCAGAUGCCAGACGUUGCCUCUAUUCACAUACUCAACUAAUUCAGGAAAAGACAUGGCAGCGUGUGAGAUGAGCUUGCUAUUAGCUUCCUUCUUCUCCAUCCUGGUGAUCGCCGCUGCAAGCGAUGAGGCCGCGCUGGUUGCUUUCAAGGUCAGGCUCAGCAACUCCAGUAUGCUUGCCUCUUGGAACAGCAGCGCCGACUUCUGCAGCUGGGAGGGCGUGACAUGCAAGCGCAGGAGGCCGACGCAGGUGGUCGCGCUGAGCCUGCCCUUCCGCGGACUCGCUGGUACCAUCUCUCCGGCCAUAGGAAACCUCACCUUCUUGCAGAGGCUAAACCUGAGCUCCAACGAGCUCUACGGUGAGAUGCCACCAAGCAUCGGCAGCCUUCGACAAUUGCAGAGCCUUGACAUGGGGAACAACAUGUUCUCUGGUAUAGUUCCUGCCAACCUUAGCUUCUGCACCGGCUUGACAACCCUCAUUCUCCACUACAAUCAGCUCAACGGUCACAUCCCAGUUGAUAUUGGCGAUACUCUGACACACCUACAGGGACUCUCACUGAUGGAAAACACCUUCACCGGGUUUAUUCCAGCGUCUCUGGCUAACCUGUCAUCACUGCAUGCUGUAUCUCUCAAGCGCAACCUGCUCCAUGGCCCCAUCCUGGACAGCCUUGGCAAACUCGCAGGCCUGCAAUUCCUCAACUUUGAGGACAACAGACUCUCCGGUGUGAUUCCACCCUCCUUGUACAACUUGUCAUCACUGACAAACUUUGCCGUUGGUGGGAACAAGCUGCAUGGCAACAUUCCUGCCGAUAUAGGAGACAGAUUUCCCAUGAUACAAGAAUUUAGCCUUGAUGAUAACCAGUUCAGCGGAGCCAUUCCUUCUUCAAUAUCCAAUCUCACUACACUGGAAGGGUUAUGGCUCUCACAGAACAGAUUUAGUGGAUUUGUGCCUCCUCGUCUGGGGAGGCUGCAACAUCUCGUAUUUUGUUCCUGCAUGAGACAAAUGUUGAAGCAAAUGACAGAGAGGGUUCGGAGUUCAUCACUUCAAUGGCAAACUGCAGUCAGCUGAGAAUCCUACUUAUCGGCAACAACUCUUUCAGUGGACGACUGCCAAGUUCAAUAGCGAACCUCUCGACAACUCUCGAUUCCCUUUACUUAGGUUACAAUAACAUCUCUGGACAUAUCCCCUCAGAUGUUGGCAAUCUUGUAGGCCUUAGCAUACUCGAGAUAGGGCAUACCUUCAUGUCUGGAGGGAUACCAGAGAGCAUUGGGAAAUUAGUGAACUUAGUUCAGCUGUACUGGGAUAAUAAUAGCUUUUCAGGCCUCAUACCCCCUUCUAUUGGUAAUCUCACACAGCUGGAAUGGCUACUUGCGCCCAACAAUAGCCUAGAAGGGCCUAUUCCGGCAAACCUUGGAACACUGGAAAAUCUUCAAAUUCUUGAUCUGUCCAUGAAUUACAAACUGAAUGGCUCGAUUCCUAAGGAGAUACUGGGGUUGACUUCCCUUUCUUCUCAGUUGGAUCUGUCAUACAACUCAUUAUCUGGACCUCUUCCUUCAGAGGUUGGUCGACUGCACAAUCUCAACAAGCUUAUUCUGCCAGGAAACCAUUUGUCCGGUGAGAUACCUGAUAGUAUAGGAAACUGCAUAGUGUUGGAAUUCCUGUUGCUGGACAGGAACUCUUUCGAAGGAAGCAUGCCUCAGUCUUUUGGGAAUAUAAAAGGGCUCCGUGUCUUGAACCUGACAAUGAACAAGUUGUCUGGUGCGAUACCUGAUACGCUUGGAAGCAUGCACGACCUAGAACAAUUGUAUCUGGCACGAAACAACUUCUCAGGGCCAAUCCCGGCAGUUAUUCAGGAUUUGACCUUGCUGUCGAAAAUGGAUGUGUCCUUCAACAACCUGCAAGGUGAAAUGCCAAAAGGAGGUGUUUUCAGAAAUCUAACUUACAUAUCAGUUGCUGGAAAUAGUAUGUUAUGUGGUGGAAUACCUCAGCUUCACUUGGCUCCAUGCUCCACCAACCAAACAGGCAAAAAUAAAAGAAAGUGGUCAAAAUCAAUUACAAUAGCUCUUGCAACAACAGGACCAAUAUUGUUGAUCAUUUCAGUGGUCUUCCUUACUCACAUUUUCUGCAAGAAGACGACACGAGGACAGAAGGGCCAAUUGCCGCCGAUGCUUAUCGGGGAGAAAUAUCAGAGAGUCUCUUACCAUGCAUUGUCAGCAGGAACUAAUGGCUUUUCAGAAGAGAACUUGCUUGGGAAAGGAAGAUACGGUGUUGUAUACAAGUGCAUUAUGGAUGACGAAGAUACAAGUACAACCGUGGCUGUAAAGGUUUUUAACCUUCAACAAUCAGGAUCUUCCAGGAGCUUUGACAUCGAGUGUGAGGCGUUGAGGCUAGUGCGUCAUCGUUGCCUUUUAAAUAUUAUCACUUGUUGCUCGAGCAUAGACCCCCAAGGGCAAGAGUUCAAGGCACUAGUUUUUGAGUUCAUGCCUAAUGGUAGUUUGGAAGAUUGGCUUCAUCCAAAAUCUGAAGAACUCACUUUAAGUAAUACGCUCAGCCUAGCUCAGAGGCUAGACAUUGUUGUUGAUGUUGCUGACGCAGUUGAAUAUCUUCAUAACCACUGUGAAGUGUGAACCAUCAAUCAUCCAUUGUGACCUCAAGCCAAGGAAUAUUCUUCUUGCAGAGGACAUGAGCGCCCGUGUUGGAGAUUUUGGCAUCUCAAAAGUACUUGGCGAAAGCAGAAUUGGCAAUCAAAAUAAUUCAAAUAGCACAAUUGGGAUAAGAGGUAGCAUUGGAUAUGUUGCUCCAGGUAACUGAAAUUCUUGUACUCUUUUUGCUCCACAUCAUUGAUGUACUUUGUCAUCAAUUCUUGUUUCAAAUAUAUUGCAGAGUACGGGGAAGGCUCUGCUGUCUCGACUGCUGGUGAUGUGUUUAGUCUUGGCAUAUUGUUGCUUGAGAUGUUUACUGGAAGGAACCCAACGGAUGACAUGUUCAAAGACUCACUGAAUCUGCACAAGUUUGCUGACGAUGCUCUCGGCGACAAAACAUUAGAGAUAUCUGAUUCAACAAUUUGGCUACACCCAGAACUAAAUGCUAGUAUUGCAAGUAACAGAAUCAAGGAAUGCUUGAUUUCCAUCUUCAGAAUCGGCAUAUCCUGUUCAAAGCAACAACCAAAAGACAGAAUGCUGAUAAGAGACGCCGCAGUACAGAUGCACGCAAUCAGAGAUGAAUACCUCAUGUUUUCAACUGAAUUAUAUGUAACCUAAAGAAGAGGCCACUAGUUUUUGCAGUUAUUCGCAAGAUCAAUGAACAAUGAGCUAAUAUAGUUAAUUAUCAGGAAUAAGUGUAACUUUACAACCACACAUGGUGUUGAAUAUCUUUCAGAUCUGUAUUUCUUCGUGCAAGUGUCAUACAAAUGCAAAAUGUAUGUAUCUAUUUCCUCUAUUGAUAUGAAAUGUUUGAGCCUCCAUGCCAGUGGGCAUGCCAAGUACAUAGCUUAUUGCAAAUUACCAAGAUUGUGAGAUGACCCCAAGUACUUUGCAAGGACACAGAGCCCAUUUGUUGUUGUCCAGCUUAAAGCUAAUAUCUACAGGACGACACAAAUGUACAACCAUAAAAAAAUUCCUGUCAAUCAAAUACAAAUUAUGACGCCAGACAUGAAAAAUGGCAUAAAAAGGGUCAGCCAGAUAGUAUAUAUAGUACUAAGCUAAAAGCAACAUUACUAUUUCACAACCCCAGUUUACUGAAAGUAGCACCACACAGCACCUGAAAUUUCACACUCCGAUUCAUCAGAACUGAAUAACAGGCUUAGCAGGUCUGCUCCAAUCUGGAAUUCCACACUCACAUGGAUUUCCCCACAAUCUCCAUCUAGCAAGAAAAUAAAUCACAUAACAGAGACCACUAUUUAUUCCAGAUAGCAGCACCUAGUAAUUCCCCUUUACAACUACCCCACUAAACAGUAACCAUCACCCAUCCAUUCCAAUUAGCCCCUGCCACAGUGCUGCUGCUAUUCUAGUCCAGGUAACCUAAGUGGAUUUCGAUAGCAAUUAACAACACUAACUACCUCUGCU
This 22835-nucleotide long non-coding RNA is filed under the name Triticum aestivum (bread wheat). RNAcentral describes it as "long non-coding RNA (TAES_LNC025021)". The record is from RNAcentral. Lineage: Eukaryota; Viridiplantae; Streptophyta; Magnoliopsida; Poales; Poaceae.